GCAACCAAAUAUUUCAACGCUGGCACAGGGGAAAACUUCUAUUGCUAAGCUGGGAUUGGCCACUUUAGCAAUUAGUUCUGCUUGGGACUGUCUGUUAGUAUCUUUGGUAUAGAAAAAAAAAAACUUUAAAAGACAGUCUGAAGACUAAUCCCAGGUGUGCACCUAUUUGAGCAGCUCUUGAGAUGGAAACUUUUAUCCCUCAAGCUACAGCAUUGGAGAGCUUCUAAAGAUACAGAACACUGGGAUCCAUACCCAGACCUACUGACCAGAUGCCUCCAUAAGUCCCCGAAGGAAUAUCAUUUGGCAGCCACUGAUAUAGGGUAAAUAACAUGAAGCUACUAUUUUUUGGUCUGUCCUGUGGAAACAGCUUGCAAUCCUCACAAGAACCUCGUAAUGUGAAUAUGCCAGCGUGUUGCUACAGACCGUGCUUACUUCAGCCAAUUUCUCUGCUGAAUAUCCUCCUUUUACUGAUGAGGAAACCAAGUCAAGAAGUCAUAAAUGACACACCCAAGGCUGGGAAGUGGUUGAGCAGGUAUUUAGACUCAGGUCUAUUUUACUCCUGUGCCUGUGGGCCGUUUUCACAUUCUUUUCAGUUGGACAGUUUUAAAAAUGUGUAAUGUUGCACUCAAAUUAAAUAACCUGAAAUUUUGCAAUUCUGAAAGGGAACUGAUAACUUGAGGCACUAUGUAACUAUGCUUCAACACCUCAAAAAGGCUCCAGCAGGCACUUCUGAAAAUGAUUUUUAAAGCCCUUUUUUACUUGAAUGCUGUUCAACAUUCUCACAACUUGGCUUAUGUUUUUAUGCUGAACAAAUGAUUCAUGACCCUUUAUUCUGGGGGCUGGAUUACUUGAAUCCAAAGUGAUGUGAUGAAUAACAAGGAUCUAGGCGUUGUUGCCCAGUUGAUAGUCACAAAAUACUUGGCCUUAAUAAGUCAGGAAUUAUUUUCCCCAUAUUUCUCGAAUUACAUUAAAGAAUAUAAGGUUUUUAAAAA
This 992-nucleotide long non-coding RNA is filed under the name Homo sapiens (human). RNAcentral's name for it is "HSALNT0374671". Lineage: Eukaryota; Metazoa; Chordata; Mammalia; Primates; Hominidae. The record is from RNAcentral.